Mesocricetus auratus (golden hamster) is the source of this 2364-nucleotide long non-coding RNA. RefSeq lists it as uncharacterized. NCBI's taxonomy places the organism in Eukaryota, Metazoa, Chordata, Mammalia, Rodentia, Cricetidae. The transcript is spliced from 3 exons. The record is from RefSeq and is a predicted model, not a curated record.
GCACAGUCAACAGAUUGGCAAAUAAAGCGAACGUGCCAUGACUUGAUAUGCUCAUAGUGGUACCCAGGCGUGUAGUGCAGGAGCAGACCCCUCCAGGAGUCUCUGUGAAGUCAUUGUCACCUCAUGCCCAGGUGAGGAAAAGUCCAGGUAACGUCAGAGCUACUGGCCUCUCGUCAGGAGUAUUUGGGUGCCGCUGUACUGUAAUGUAAGGGUCCCCACAUCACUCAAGUCCCCCCUAACCUCUACUGUCUUCAGGGGUGUGGGGUCCUGGAGAGAAAACACCGUUGCCAGGGGCAGAAGUUUUGUCACCACAGCGUCACUCCUGGGCCUGCAGAGCCUGCACGUGAACAUAGCAUCUCCCUGACCACAUCACUGAGGUGUUCAAAGGAAAGGGAAGGACAGAGUCUGGUUAGCACCCAGCUAUGUGUGGGUGCCAUCCUGGGUCAACCACUGUGAAGUAGGAUGUCAUGUUGAGCCCCUGGACAAUUACAAGAGCUGAGUCCUUGGAGGAUGCAGAAGGCAGAAGAAGAUAACAGGUGAGCUCUUCACCUCAGGAAGGGCUUGCUGUCUUGGCAGAACCCUGUCUUCAGGCCAGAAGUCUCCAUUGUUCAGAAAAGCAUCCAGAGAGGCCAGGCAGGUGACUCAGCAGAUUGCUGCCUGCCUUGACACCUGCAGAAACCCCCUCAUCCUGGCUCACGGUUCAAGGGUACAGUCCAUCAGGCAGGGAAGGAAUGGCAGCAGGAACUGGAAACAGCUGCUGACGUCAUAUCCAUAACCAGGAAGCAUGCAACUGCUCUGUUCUUUUUAUACAGAUCAGGAUCCUGGCCAGGGAAUGGUGCCACCCACAGUGGAUGGGUUUUCCUAUCUCAAUUAUCAUAAUCAAGGUAAUCCCCUACAGGCAUGCCCAAAGGCUAACCCUAAUCUGGAAAAUCCCUUACUGGUGUGCCUGGGAGUGUGUCGUCUUCUGGAUGAUUAUAGACCUGGUCAAACGGACCAUUAACACUAAUCAUCACAAUACACAUGUAUGAAUGAGUAAAACUUGUAGGAAAUAGAGAUAGAAGAUGAUAGAAGAGGCAAAAAGCACCUUUGUUCCAUUUCUCCAAAAGCGUCCAACUCCCACAGCAAUGUACUUGUUCUAGAUGUUGCCACAUUGCUUGCAGUUGUGUCCAACCUUUCGGUUUUACAACAUGGUACCAUCUAUGAGAUUCAUACUCAAGAAUCCUGCAAUCAGGUUGAAAAAAAAUGAGUCCCUUCUCAUAAUGCUUUUAGUAAGCUUACAGUUUUGUGUUGGGUCCUGUGGUAGUCAGGGUUCUCUAGAGAAACAGAACUAAUAAAAUGAAUAUAUGUUUAAAAUCUCAUGAUUUUAGGGCUGGGGAGAUGGAUGUUGGAAAAAUGCUUGCCCUGCAAGUAUGAGGCCCUGAGUUCUGUCCCCAGAACACAUGUGGAGAAGCUAGGCAUGGUGCUAUGCAGCAGCAGGCUUUUCCUUUUAGGCCACCAAUCGGCUCCCAAAUCAUGACACAAGAGACUUCUUAUCAGUUAUGAAUGCUCGGCCUAACCCAGGCUCGUUUCUGGCCAGCUCUUUUAAUUUACAUCAACCUGUUCCUCUUUAUCUACCUUUUGCCUCAGGGCUUUUUGCUUUUCUUUCCUUCUGUCUAUCUUACUUUCUCUGUGUGUGUGUGCCUCUGUGUGUGUUUCUCUGUGUCUCUGUGUGUGUCUCUGUCUGUGUGUGUUUCUGUGUGGGUGUCUCUGUGUGUGUGUCUCUGUGUGUGUGUGUGUGUGUGUGUGUGUGUGUGUGUGCACCACAUGUGUGCAGUGCCCACUGAGGUCAGAGUAGGACACAGAAUCCCCUUGAGUUGGACUUGCGGGCAGUUGUGAACCCCCUCACAUAGAGGUGGAAGCUGACCUCGGGUUCUAUGGGAAAGCCCCAAACUUCCCCUUAACGUCUGUCAUCUCUCCAGGUCAUCUAGCUUUUCAGGUGUGUUGUAGGGGAAGGAGAUACUGAAAUCAAGUCCUCAUGCCUGCAGAGUUUGUGUCAGUUUAACACAAGCAGGAGUCAUUUUGGAAGACAGAGCAUCAACUGAGAAAAUGCUCCCACCACAGUGCUUAUGAUCAAACCUGUGGGAUCAUUUUUUAAAUCCAUAAUUGAUAUAGGCGAACCCAGCUCACUGUGGGCAGUGCCACUCUUGGGCUGGUGGUCCUGGGUACUGUAAGGAGGCAGGCUGAGCAAGCCAUGGAGAGCAAGUUGGUAAGCAGUGCCCCUCCAUGGCCUUGGCGUCAGUUCCUGCUCUGAGUUCCUACCCUGGCUUCCCUCAGUGAUGGACUUACAAGCUAGAAAGUGAAAUAAAUCCUUUCUUCCCCAAGUUA